Long non-coding RNA from Acanthopagrus latus (yellowfin seabream), 1425 nucleotides. RefSeq lists it as uncharacterized. NCBI's taxonomy places the organism in Eukaryota, Metazoa, Chordata, Actinopteri, Spariformes, Sparidae. The transcript is spliced from 3 exons. The record is from RefSeq and is a predicted model, not a curated record.
ACCCACUCAUGGUUGCUUAUGGUGGCCACUAAAAAUGCAAAAGUAUUUGGUUUGUCCAUUCAGGGCUACUGUAGGAAAAUGGCAGUCCAACAUGGCCGCAACCGUGAGUGAGGACCUGCUCAGAUUUAAAAGACUCAUUCUGAGGUGCCUGAAUGUCUGAGGAAGUUGUGAUCUCCUCCAUCUCAUGGGAAACAAAUGAGGCCUCUGCAGGGAGCGCUAGCGGGGAAUGAGGCCUCCCUGCGCCCACUGCUAUAGACGGAGCAGAUCCUUGUAAUAAUGUGGAUACUUCGCCUCCGCCGCCUUGAAAAACAGCUCGCGGGAGAGCAGAGGGGGGCCUGUUUGGGUCCUUUGAUUCUUCUUCUCACCAUAAGCAGGCCCCCAACCCUGGACCUCCUGCCCUUACUGUGCACUUGUCGAAGACAAUCAGCAUUCCCACAGUAACACACCAUGCUUAGAGUUUUUCUUAGUGUACGUGAGUGUGGAGUAAAGGAGAUUAAGCCCAUGUUGAUGUGUCCAGGGACAAGAGACCUGUAGCUAUGUCUGUUUAUGGUGCUCAGACUCUGUCACAGCCGAAUUAAUACCAAUCAUACACACGACUAAUUCUAUUUGACAAAUGGAAGAGAUAGUGAGGGAUGAGGAGAGAGACUGCUUGGAUUCAACGAGGAACUUAUACGGGGGAGUUCAGGAGACAGCGGGGUGGAUCCCAGCUCCAUCUCGCCUAUGUGGGGAAUGCAAACCGUGGCUGUCAGCAUGGUAACCGCUGACCUGGGUUGCCAUAGUUUCAAAACCUUUUGUUGACAAACGCGAGAAUUCACCUUUUCAUCUCGCCACGCGUUGUGAAGGUACGCCGAUGAUGUGGACUCUGAACGGGACAACACCGACCGUCCAUCUCGCAUUUACACAGGAACAUUGUUAUUUAUUUUUGUGUCUUAUCAGAACUUUAAUGUACAAAAAGCCUUUAUAUUUUGACAUUAAUGAAUGAAAAUGCAUGUGGUAAAAAUCCACUUCAGCUCUUAAUGAUUUAUUUGAAUACUUGUUAUUUUUGCAAAUUGCUUGCAGCAUCAGAGCCAUGUUUUUUUUGUUUUUUUCAAACUCUGUAGUCUUUCUUUUUUCUUUUAUAGGCUUACUGCUCAAAAUCCUAUAAAUGCAAAUUCAAAAUCUUUGGUUUGCAAACGCGAGAUAAAUUGUUUUCACUUAAAGCUACAACAAGGAAUUUAAAACAAUGUUUUGUUGAUUUUGGAGGCCCCUGUGGAGCUGCUGAAUGUAACUUUGCCUGGGAAAAUGUAAACAGAUCAUUUCACUUUAAGUCAUUUUCUCCUCAAAUUGAAUGUUUUUUUUCUUUUGCAUUUCAGCUUGCCUUUAUUGCAGUGUAGCAUGACCUCACAAAUAUUUAACCUUAACCAAAUAUUUCAUUAAAGAGUUAGU